Molecule: unclassified non-coding RNA, 273 nt
Filed under: Glomeraceae sp.
Lineage: Eukaryota; Fungi; Glomeromycota; Glomeromycetes; Glomerales; Glomeraceae
Description: partial contains 5.8S ribosomal RNA and internal transcribed spacer 2
Rfam family: 5.8S ribosomal RNA (bases 1-71)
Source: RNAcentral
GUGAAUCAUCAAAUUUUUGAACGCAUAUUGCACUCUCUGGUAAUCCGGUGAGUAUGCCUGUUUGAGGGUCAGAUAAAUAAAAAUCGGUGUUUUUGCCCCCUUUGGUGGUGACGCUUCGGGAUUAGGUCGUCUUUAUCUUUCGGUUAAGUUACAUAAAAUUUUUGAAUGAUAUCUGAACGUAUUUAAAUUUAUUUUGUACGUGUUUGUGAUAUCGAAUGUUUAUUAGGUGUGGUUCAUCUCAUGUCUUAUGUUUAUAAUUUUUAUUCUAAUGAC